This 729-nucleotide long non-coding RNA is filed under the name Callithrix jacchus (white-tufted-ear marmoset). RNAcentral's name for it is "lncRNA (ENSCJAG00000086552.1)". Lineage: Eukaryota; Metazoa; Chordata; Mammalia; Primates; Cebidae. The record is from RNAcentral.
CUUGGCUAGAACUAUGCUUAAAUAAGGAGACGGGUAGGUAGGGGUGUGUGUGUGUGCGUGUGUGUGUUUAGUGGUAUGUUAACCUACAAAAAUAUGGAGAGAGGUUAAGGGAGAAGGCUGUCAUUCUGACAGGUGGUUCUUGUAAAAAGGUGAUCUCUCGAAGUUCAAGAAGUUUCUAAAUAUCUACACCCACUCCCAGGUGGUGAGCCGCGAAGCAGGUGAUUUGUGGAGACUUCUUCGUGUUCUUCCUUCAACCAGUACUGAUGCCAGGCACAAGGUAACAAAAACAAGCAGGACUCAAUCCACGCCUUCAAGGGAUCUCCCUUGGUUCCCAUUGAGAAGUUUGGUUUUUUAUUUUUUUCUUUUGCUAAACAAGAAGCGUCGACCCACUGGGAAGUUUGAAUGUUGAGUUUAAGACAGGGCAGCUGGUGACAGGCAGCAAGGAAAAACCAGGGAGACUGGACUCUGACAUCGCUUGCUGUUCAGUUUCACCUUUCACUUGUCAGCGGACAAAACCAAGCCCUUCAGCAGUGACAGAACGGAACCAGUGUUUCUUAGUGAGUAGACGUGGGGCCAAAAAAGACCGGAUCUCUUCAAGCUCACCUGGCCACAUUCUCUUCCUGCUGCUCCCAGAUGUCCCACCAGACUGUCGCUCUGCGGGACUCAAACAUUUCUUGAAGGUGGGAACUGCGUUUUAACCAUCUUUUUAUCCUUCCACAGUACCCUCCC